This 229-nucleotide ribosomal RNA is filed under the name uncultured bacterium. RNAcentral describes it as "partial 16S ribosomal RNA". It matches the Rfam family "Bacterial small subunit ribosomal RNA", at positions 568 to 796 of the family's 1533-position model. The record is from RNAcentral.
CGCGCAGGCGGUUUGUCAAGUCAGAUGUGAAAGCCCACGGCUUAACCGUGGAAGUGCAUUUGAAACUGGCAGACUUGAGUAUCAGAGGGGAAAGUGGAAUUCCCGGUGUAGAGGUGAAAUUCGUAGAUAUCGGGAGGAAUACCGGUGGCGAAGGCGACUUUCUGGCUGAAUACUGACGCUGAGGCGCGAAGGUGUGGGUAGCAAACAGGAUUAGAUACCCUGGUAGUCC